UUAAGCAUAUCAAUAAGCGGAGGAAAAGAAACUAACAAGGAUUCCCUUAGUAACGGCGAGCGAAGUGGGAAGAGCUCGAGCCUGAAAUCCCUGGCAGUCACUGCCAGAGAAUUGUGGCCGGGAGAGGCAGCUAGGCCCUGACGGACGCUGUCGAAGUUGACCUGGAAAGGCACGUCGGAGAGGGUGAGAACCCCGUGUGCGACACCGUUGUCCUGGGCCGCUACUGCCUUCGGAGAGUCGGGUUGUUUGGGAAUGCAGCCCAAAGUGGGUGGUAAACUCCAUCUAAAGCUAAAUACUGGCACGAGACCGAUAGCAAACAAGUACCAUGAGGGAAAGGUGAAAAGUACUUUGAAAAGAGAGUCAAAAAGACCGCGAAACCGUUAGGAGGGAAACGAAUGCAGCUAAAUUGGCUCGGUAUCAGGUUCAGGAGUGAUGUUGAUUGGCGAUGCCUUGUUGCAAAAGCUGUAUGGCUUUGUUGCUCGGAUAGCCUUCGACUCCUCCACAUUCCUGUGCUCGAGCUGGCCAACAACAGUUGUACGUGGCUGAGAAGGGCAGUUGGGUAGGUAGCUUUUCAUUCGUGGAGAGAACGUAUAGCCUUCUGUCUGGUAGUCUGCGUGCGACUGAGGAUCGCUUGCAGCGUAGGCCCUACGGGCUUGGGCUGCCUCUGGUCGUUUAGGCGCCGCGUUGGGGACUGCGUGCAGUGUCCAGUGACGGUUUGUCUGCUCGAGCGGGGGGCUGGUCACACCUUACGCUGUGGUUGUUGGUGUCCAAAUGGCUGCAUCCGACCCGUCUU
RNAcentral lists this ribosomal RNA (793 nucleotides) under Pseudosuberites sulphureus. Its description in RNAcentral is "eukaryotic LSU rRNA". It matches the Rfam family "Eukaryotic large subunit ribosomal RNA", at positions 34 to 655 of the family's 3401-position model. The record is from RNAcentral. Lineage: Eukaryota; Metazoa; Porifera; Demospongiae; Suberitida; Suberitidae.